Molecule: long non-coding RNA, 546 nt
Organism: Schistocerca gregaria
Lineage: Eukaryota; Metazoa; Arthropoda; Insecta; Orthoptera; Acrididae
Exons: 3
Source: RefSeq, a predicted model, not a curated record
UAGGUCGCGUAUCCCUCCGCCACUGCUAUUUCUGCUACUUCCGUGAUUUCUGUGACUUCUGCUACUUCUGCGAUUUCUGUGACUUCUGCGAUUUCUGCGACUUACCACCGUAUGAAAAAAGUUACAUCUGCCCACACAGAAAAUUGCAUCUCAACAAAUCUGUCAUUGGUACCCGAACUACAUUUCAGUCACUCAGUAAAUUGAUAACUCAAAAUAUCAUUGUCAACAGAUCUGGAGAAAUUGCCACUGCGUCUUUAGACCGUUUUCGUCAGACGAGAGACACAGUUCUGACUCUUGAUUACUGGUUGCUGUAUGUAUCUAUCCACAUCAAGGCUAUUGAGAGAGACUCGUGAAGAUUUAAGACAGCUCUUAGAGGAUUUGCAGUUUAAAAGUGACAUAAUUGUGAAAUAAGUGUGCAGAUGAGUGAUUAAACUGUGUUUUAUUGAAGUUGUUAUGCGAUUUUAAAGGAAUAAUAAAUGUUAAAUACAGUGAUUGAAUAAUGAAAAUCUCAUUUUCCACAUGUUUAAGCCGUCCUAUACCCGUAAU